RNAcentral lists this ribosomal RNA (550 nucleotides) under eukaryotic picoplankton environmental sample. RNAcentral's name for it is "bacterial SSU rRNA". It matches the Rfam family "Eukaryotic small subunit ribosomal RNA", at positions 606 to 1148 of the family's 1831-position model. The record is from RNAcentral.
UAAAUUGAUGGACUGAAAAGCUCGUAGUUGGAUUUCUGGUAGGAGCAGACCGGUCCCCCGCUUGGUGUCGAAUGAUUGGUGUUUAACUUCGUGCAUACGAGGUGCUCUGGUGCUCAGGGGUCUGGUACGCCGAGUCCACGAGGCUACUUUGAUAAAGUUAAAGUGUUCAAAGGGGGCUUACACGUGAAUAUUUCGACUUGGUAAUAACUGUAUAAGACUCCUGUCCUAUUUCGAUGGUUCUCGGUGACGGUGAGUAAUGAUUAAGAGGAACAGAUGGGGGCAUUCGGGAUUAUCACUGUCAGAGGUGAAAUAUCGUUGGAUUUAUGAAAGACUAACUUCAUGCAGAAAGCGUUUGCCACAGGUAUGUUUUCAUUAAUCCAUAACGAAAGUUGGGGGCUCGAAGAUGAUUAGAUACAAUCCUACUCUCAACCAUCAACCAUGCCGACUAUGGCAAUGACGGAUGUUAAUUGUGUGACUCCGCCGACACCUUAUGAGAAAUCAGAGAUUUUGGGUUCCUGGGGGAGCUAUGGUCACAAGGCUGACACCAAGA